Small nucleolar RNA from Hibiscus syriacus, 97 nucleotides. RefSeq annotates it as small nucleolar RNA snoR128. The record is from RefSeq and is a predicted model, not a curated record. Lineage: Eukaryota; Viridiplantae; Streptophyta; Magnoliopsida; Malvales; Malvaceae. The transcript has a single exon.
UUGCAAUGAUGAGGUUUAGGAAUCAGUGAAGGGCAUUUGUUGAACGCUUGAUGAAACGUUCGACCGUUGUGUGGAUCCUGAGUUGUUAUCUGAGCAA